UGGAAGGCCAAGGUAGGAGAAUCACUUGAGCCAAGACUGCCAGGCUGCUGUGAGCUGUGAUAACGCCACUGCAGUUCAGCCUGCGUGAGAGUGAGACCUUGUUUCAAAAGGAAAGAAAAAGAAAGAAAGAGAAAGAGAGAGAGAAGAUGAAAGAAAAGAAAGAAAGAAAGAAAGAAAGAAAGAAAGAAAGAAAGAAAGAAAGAAAGAAAGAAAGAAAGAAAGAAAAAGAAAACAGAAAAGAAAUGUAAAAAAGCAGGUAACUAUUAGUAGUUCUAAGAAAAUGUUAAUUGUAAUAAUAAUUGUUUUGAAAAGUCCUGGAUCUAUGUAUGAUGUUGCUGAUUUGUUAGCUUGGGUCAGCUUUCACAGAGCCUGAGUUGCAUUACUUUGUUUCCUACAAAAUUUAAAAAGAGAAAUUAAGUGGAACUACUGUCAUCUGAGGUGUAAAUGCCCACCUUGUAUAUGUAUUUGUCCGUUUUUAUCUCUUCAUGGACUAUAAUACAGGAAUUUCAAUGAAAACCUUGAUCUUUUCUGCUCUAUAAUUGAUUUCAUUUCUAUUAAAAGAGAAAGGCACAGAUAAUAGAAUGAAAGCAUGCAAUCUAUGUUAUGUCAGUAAAUCCUUGAUUUCUAUUAAAACCCCACCUAAACUUGCAAUUCCUUUGGCAGAGCACGUAGGAAGGCCUUUCUCCAGCUGCUGUUUUUGCUGAUGAGAUGCCAAGUGUCUUUACAGAUAUGUCUUCAAAGAGAGAGAGAGAAGGACAAGAGAUAGAGAGAAAGAAAGAGAGCGAGAGAAAAGAGAAAGAUAUGGGAAUGCAAUUACAGAAACUCUGCUUUUAAAAGAAGUGGUUCAGGAAAAUAUAUUCUCCAUUCCAUCACACCUCUUUUUCCAAUGAUGCAGUGCGAAGAAAGUAUAAUCUCUGGAGUAAUUACAGUUCAGUGAGGAAAUGAUAUCACCUGAUGGCCCUAUGAAGCAUUUAGCAAUCAAAGGGCCUCACACACACAUUCAGGGUUCAGAUCUUGUUGAAAGCUGCGAUGUCGACACUCUGCACAUGCUCCUCAAACUUGGUGAUCUCCUCCUCCAGCAAGUCUGUCCCCACCUUGUCCUCCACCACACACUGAAUAUGCAGCUUCCGGAUACCGUAGCCCACGGGCACCAGCUUGGAGGCCCGGCU
Molecule: long non-coding RNA, 1169 nt
Filed under: Macaca mulatta (Rhesus monkey)
Lineage: Eukaryota; Metazoa; Chordata; Mammalia; Primates; Cercopithecidae
Description: lncRNA (ENSMMUG00000051324.1)
Source: RNAcentral